CAGCCGCCGCGGUAAUACAGAGGGUGCGAGCGUUAAUCGGAUUUACUGGGCGUAAAGCGUGCGUAGGCGGCUUUUUAAGUCGGAUGUGAAAUCCCUGAGCUUAACUUAGGAAUUGCAUUCGAUACUGGGAAGCUAGAGUAUGGGAGAGGAUGGUAGAAUUCCAGGUGUAGCAGUGAAAUGCGUAGAGAUCGGAAGGAACAUCUGUGGCGAAGGCGACUAUCUGGGCCAACACUGACACUGAGGCACGAAAGCGUGGGGAGCAAACAGGAUUAGAUACCCGAGUAGUCCCUGUCUCUUAUAC
Molecule: ribosomal RNA, 301 nt
Filed under: uncultured bacterium
Lineage: Bacteria
Description: partial 16S ribosomal RNA
Rfam family: Bacterial small subunit ribosomal RNA
Source: RNAcentral